RNAcentral lists this ribosomal RNA (627 nucleotides) under Clostridioides difficile. Its description in RNAcentral is "bacterial LSU rRNA". It matches the Rfam family "Bacterial large subunit ribosomal RNA", at positions 260 to 890 of the family's 2925-position model. The record is from RNAcentral. Lineage: Bacteria; Bacillati; Bacillota; Clostridia; Peptostreptococcales; Peptostreptococcaceae.
CGGAUUAGCCCAAACCAAUAAAGUUUUCUUUAUUGGGGUUGCGGACAUAUCAUAACGAAGAGGUAUCGUAAUUGAAGAGGUUUGGAAAGACCCACCACAGAAGGUAAUAGUCCUGUAUGUUAAACGAGAAGACUUUAGAUAUGAUCCAGAGUACCACGGGACACGUGAAACCCUGUGGGAAGCAGGAGGGACCACCCUCCAAGGCUAAAUACUACCUAGUGACCGAUAGCGUAUAGUACCGUGAGGGAAAGGUGAAAAGAACCCCGGGAGGGGAGUGAAAUAGAACCUGAAACCCUGCACUUACAAGCUGUGGAAGCACAUUUCUUGUGUGACCGCGUACUUUUUGUAGAACGGGCCAACGAGUUACGUUAAGUAGCAAGGUUAAGCACUUAAGGUGCGGAGCCGUAGCGAAAGCGAGUUUUAACUGAGCGUUCAGUUACUUGACGUAGACCCGAAACCGGGCGAUCUACCCAUGAGCAGGAUGAAGCGAAAGUAAAAUUUCGUGGAGGUCCGAACCCACGAGCGUUGAAAAGCUCGGGGAUGACUUGUGGGUAGCGGUGAAAUUCCAAUCGAGCCCGGAGAUAGCUGGUUCUCCCCGAAAUAGCUUUAGGGCUAGCCUCAAGGUGA